CCCCGGUAAACGGCGGCCGUAACUAUAACGGUCCUAAGGUAGCGAAAUUCCUUGUCGGGUAAGUUCCGACCUGCACGAAUGGCGUAAUGAUGGCCAGGCUGUCUCCACCCGAGACUCAGUGAAAUUGAACUCGCUGUGAAGAUGCAGUGUACCCGCGGCAAGACGGAAAGACCCCGUGAACCUUUACUAUAGCUUGACACUGAACAUUGAGCCUUGAUGUGUAGGAUAGGUGGGAGGCUUUGAAGUGUGGACGCCAGUCUGCAUGGAGCCGACCUUGAAAUACCACCCUUUAAUGUUUGAUGUUCUAACGUGGACCCGUAAUCCGGGUUGCGGACAGUGUCUGGUGGGUAGUUUGACUGGGGCGGUCUCCUCCUAAAGAGUAACGGAGGAGCACGAAGGUUGGCUAAUCCUGGUCGGACAUCAGGAGGUUAGUGCAAUGGCAUAAGCCAGCUUGACUGCGAGCGUGACGGCGCGAGCAGGUGCGAAAGCAGGUCAUAGUGAUCCGGUGGUUCUGAAUGGAAGGGCCAUCGCUCAACG
This 537-nucleotide ribosomal RNA is filed under the name Salmonella enterica. Its description in RNAcentral is "partial 23S ribosomal RNA". It matches the Rfam family "Bacterial large subunit ribosomal RNA", at positions 1918 to 2454 of the family's 2925-position model. Lineage: Bacteria; Pseudomonadati; Pseudomonadota; Gammaproteobacteria; Enterobacterales; Enterobacteriaceae. The record is from RNAcentral.